Long non-coding RNA from Dreissena polymorpha, 2646 nucleotides. RefSeq lists it as uncharacterized. The record is from RefSeq and is a predicted model, not a curated record. NCBI's taxonomy places the organism in Eukaryota, Metazoa, Mollusca, Bivalvia, Myida, Dreissenidae. The transcript has 2 exons.
CAAAAGUUAACGGCAACGGCCGAUUGAUAAGACAAACACAUAAUUAUUCAGGAUUUGAAGCUAAAUACAUUAUUAGACACCAAAGUUAGCAUUCAGGUCAUCUUAUGGAUGUCAAACAACUUUAUUAAAACUAGUAGAAGAUUGGAAACAAGCCCUAGAUGAAAACAAUUAUGUAGGAGCUGUUUUAAUGGACCUGUCUAAAGCGUUCGAUUGCUUACCUCACAAUCUAAUUGUACUAAAACUCAAGGCCUAUGGAUUAACCGAGCAUGCAUGUAAAUUAAUGUUAAACUAUCUAUCAAACAGGUCUCAAAGGGUUAAAAUAAACAAUUGUACUAGUAAAUGGCAAGAAAUCAUUAAGGGAGUGCCUCAAGGCUCUAUACUCGGUCCGUUGAUCUUUAAUAUCUUUAUCAAUGAUAUUUUUUAUUUUAUAGAUACGUCAACCCUGUAUAACUAUGCAGACGACAAUACCCUUUCCUUCAGUCACAAAAACUUAAAUACCUUUAAGGAAACUAUUGAAUCAGAAAGUAAAUCCCUGAUACACUGGUUCAAUAUUAACCAAAUGCAGGCAAACCCCGAUAAAUUCCAGGCAAUAUGUGUAGGUAAUAAGACUUAUAAAAAAGUUAAAUCAUUUACUAUAGGUCAAAAUGAAAUUUAAUGUGAACAAAAAGUAAAACUUUUAGGAGUGGAACUUGAUUACAAAUUAAACUUUGAUCCACAGGUUACAAAUGUAUGCAAAAAGGCAGCCAAACAAUUAAAUGUUCUCCAAAGACUAAGCAAAUUCCUGAAUGUAAGCACUAGGUUAAUAAUCUUUAAAUCUUUUAUCCGAUCAAAUUUUAAUUUUUGUCCCCUUAUAUGGCAUUUUUGUAGUAAAUCCAACACAGAAAAACUAGAAAAGAUACAGUUCAGAGCCCUUAGAAUUGUUUUUAAUGACUAUGAAUCUAGUUAUAAUACACUACUAAAAAAGGUUACCAGUUCUACUCUUCACUUAAACAGGUUACACCUCAUUGCGUCAGAAACAUUUAAAUGUAUACACAAUCUUUCCCCAGAAUAUCUUCAAUCCUUGGUUAAAGUUAAAUCCUCUACCUAUAAUUUCAGAUAUUCAAACAUCCUUGAGACACCACAAGUAAGAACAACAAGGUAUGGCAAAAAUUCCUUUCGUUUUGAGGCUGUACAGGUGUGGAACAGCCUCCCAGAGGAUAUUCGCACAGUCGACAAAUAUAAAGACUUUGUACGGCUGAUCCGCACCUGGACAGGCUCAAAAUGUAAAUGCGCCAUGUGUGAGUAACCUGCUUCUCAUAUUUUUUGCUUGCUUGCUUGUUGUUUUGUUUUUUGUUGCUGUCCUGCUUAUAUUAUUUAUUUAUCUGUCAGUUAACCCCUUGUUAAAUUAUCCUUGUAUAUAGUGUAUAUGAGUUUCCUGUUUAAAAAAAAUAAAAAUAAAAUAGAAAUAAACAUGUAUAUAUGUGUAUAUAUGUGCUAUGUAGAUGUUUUUUCAUGUGAUUAAAUAUGCUUUUUUAUACUCCCUUCUUGUGUGUUUUAAAAUGUUAAAAACAGUGUAUAUAUGUGUGUAUAUUUGCUAUUUAUUUGUUGUACUAUGUAGUUAUUGUGCAUGUGCUUAUAUAUGCUUUUAAACAUGAAUUGUGUGCUAUACUUGUUUGAAUAUCUUAAAUUUUAAUAUAGGUCUGCAAUGCUUUGUUUGUACAAAUUAUAAGUGUAUAACAUAUGUGUUAAUUAUGAACUGAUGUAAAACAGCUCCAAUAUAGUUCUUAGGUAUAUUUCCCUUUGUCAUAUCUAUGUGUAACUUACAAAAUAUAAUGCUUUAAUGAACAUUUUUUACUAAAUUUUGUGUUGUAUAUGCUCUAAGUAUGUCCUUGUAGUAUAAAUGCUUAUAUAAUAUGCUUAAUCUUUCUUUCUUUCAGCUCAAUAUACACUUGUUAUAUAUUUACAAUUGUUUUGUCGGGAAAUAGCUCAUGAGCUAAUGUUUAUUGUUAUUCACAUCCGACGUUAAAUAAAGAUUCUUGUAUCUUGUAUCUUGUAUCUUGUACAUACGAUAGUUUAGUUUUUAUGUACUACAGGAUAUUAGAUCUACAUAAUUUGAAAGAGUAAACAUUUUGUCUAUGUUUAUGUUUAUCUAUGUUAAUGUACUAGCAAUUGUAAUUUGAUAACGAUUUGAAACUGGUAUUUAUUGUUUUCAUAUCUCUAUGUCAAAUAAUGAUGAGAAAUUGGGUGAAAUAUUUGGGUUUUCUUUAUAUACGAAAUAUUGACAAGUAUAUCAGUGGCGAGUAUGCAUGACGGUCAAAAGAUUAAAUAUUUGGAUCUGGUGUAUGUUUAAAAACAAAGGGGGAACGAUGCCGUCGACACAAGCCUUAGGCUGUAUUUGCAUUAUUUAUUUGUAUCACAAUGCUGAUUAGCGUGCACAUACCCAGUCCUAUGUUGUAAUUCAACCAAUCAGGAACAAGCACGUAUGGAACACUGACCAAUAGGAUUCAUAACUGAGUUUCACGGGCCAGAUGUUAGAGGGAAACAAGGCGGUUAGCGUUUAGACCUGGAGGUGGACAGAUGGAAAAGACACAAUCAUGUAGCAAUCACAACGCAUUUGUAUAACUGAAAUAUUAGUUAUGUUAGACAUUAAAUUGGACUAGAAACUGA